Molecule: long non-coding RNA, 718 nt
Organism: Oncorhynchus gorbuscha (pink salmon)
Lineage: Eukaryota; Metazoa; Chordata; Actinopteri; Salmoniformes; Salmonidae
Exons: 4
Source: RefSeq, a predicted model, not a curated record
AGGAGCUGGAGGCUGAGACAGAGGCUGCUAGAGUCAACGACAGCGAAGAGCCGUCUACGCCGGUGAACGCCAAGAAAACAAAAAGGAUGAUGCCCAAGAAGGCUAAGGGAGGGGAGGAGUCUGACUUCAUUACGUUUCCAGCACCAUGCCACCAUCCCUACACCCAUCUUCUUCAAGAGAGCAAAGGGAAGCCCCAGCACAUCGUUGUCCAGCAAGAAGAAGUGUCAGACUCCAAAAUCUGAAUCCAAGAAGGUUACCUUUGGACUUCAUAAAAACAAAGCUGCAGAAUUCAGGAAGACCGAUCACAGCCUGCUGGUGAGUCCAGAAGGGUGGUCCAGAGUGCCAUUUGACCCCCAGCAGAAACCCCUGUUUGGAGUGCUGAAGUCCCCAGUGGCCUCUCUUACCAACAGCAACAAGAAGAAGACCAAGAGCAUCCUGAAAGCCAGCCCCAAACGCCCUACUCUGCUGCUGACUUUCUCUAGUCGUCCGUGAGGAGACUGGUGAGACAGAGGACCCUCCCCCUCCACUCAGUCCCACCCCACUGUUUGUCCACUAGGAAAAUAUAAUUAUGAACGCAUGACCACAGAAUCUGUUAUUCCUCUGUUGGGGCGAUAUUGAUAUACACUUAUUUUUUAGUGGAAAUAUUUAUACGUUUCUAUGUUCUUUUGCUGUUCUGUGGGUGAGCAAGUGUUCAAAUAAAGACCACUCCCUCCUUUUA